UAAAUGACUUUGAAUAGAACAGAAAAAUGAUAACAAUACUUUUAGCGAGCUAGUGAAUGGUGAAAGACUAGCAAGUCCCUGUUAUGAUUAGAUCCUCUAGGAGUCAAUUAGCUGAAACUAAGUAAGCUAAUUCGUUUGAUUGGCGUUAACAAUUACUUGAGGAGAAAAAGAAAUUUUUCUUAAACUUGGGUGGUAACACGAAGACUUCGUCCCUACU
Carnobacterium divergens DSM 20623 is the source of this 217-nucleotide regulatory RNA element. It matches the Rfam family "T-box leader". Rfam says of the family: Uncharged tRNA acts as the effector for transcription antitermination of genes in the T-box leader family. Lineage: Bacteria; Bacillati; Bacillota; Bacilli; Lactobacillales; Carnobacteriaceae. The record is from Rfam.